CCUACGGGGGGCAGCAGUGGGGAAUAUUGGGCAAUGGGCGCAAGCCUGACCCAGCAACGCCGCGUGAAGGAAGAAGGCCUUCGGGUUGUAAACUUCUUUUCUCAGGGACGAAGCAAGUGACGGUACCUGAGGAAUAAGCCACGGCUAACUACGUGCCAGCAGCCGCGGUAAUACGUAGGGGGCAAGCGUUAUCCGGAUUUACUGGGUGUAAAGGGCGUGUAGGCGGGACUGGAAGUCAGUUGUGAAAGCCACGGGCUCAACCUGUGGCCUGCAUUUGAAACUGUAGUGCUUGAGUACUGGAGAGGCAGGCGGAAUUCCUGGUGUAGCGGUGAAAUGCGUAGAUAUUAGGAGGAACACCGGUGGCGAAGGCGGUCUGCUGGACAGCAACUGACGCUGAGGCGCGAAAGCGUGGGGAGCAAACAGGAUUAGAUACCCGAGUAGUC
RNAcentral lists this ribosomal RNA (443 nucleotides) under uncultured bacterium. Its description in RNAcentral is "partial 16S ribosomal RNA". It matches the Rfam family "Bacterial small subunit ribosomal RNA", at positions 338 to 795 of the family's 1533-position model. The record is from RNAcentral.